CUAAGCACUAAAAUCCUUGGAUUAAAACUUAAAGAGCAUGGCGGCCAUAAAAAUUGUCAGGGGAACUUACCAGGUAAUAGAUAACCCACAAGGCGCUCUACUUAGCCUAAUAGUUUGUAUACCGCCGUCUUCAGGUCUCACUUAUGGUGGUACCAAAAGGCACAAAGCAAGAAGACAGGUCAUGGUGCAGCCUAUGACUAAGCCAUAAGGCGAGUUACAAUAAUAAUUUAUGUUCGAAUUAGAGAUUAAACUCUCUAUGAAGUUGGACUUGAAAGUAAUGUACUAAUCGAAAUAAGAAGUGAAUAUCCUUUUUAUGGUGC
This 320-nucleotide ribosomal RNA is filed under the name Peronina tenera. Its description in RNAcentral is "partial 12S ribosomal RNA". Lineage: Eukaryota; Metazoa; Mollusca; Gastropoda; Systellommatophora; Onchidiidae. The record is from RNAcentral.